AGUGUCAAGGGAUGGGAAUCGAACCCACGACCUUCCGCUUACCGGGCAGAUGCCAUGACCACUAGGCCAGAUGACC
This is a non-coding RNA of Cordylochernes scorpioides, 76 nucleotides long. The record is from the annotation of a GenBank genome assembly. Lineage: Eukaryota; Metazoa; Arthropoda; Arachnida; Pseudoscorpiones; Chernetidae.